GACGAACGCUGGCGGUGUGCUUAACACAUGCAAGUCGAACGGAAAGGCCCUGCUUUUGUGGGGUGCUCGAGUGGCGAACGGGUGAGUAACACGUGAGUAACCUGCCCUUGACUUUGGGAUAACUUCAGGAAACUGGGGCUAAUACCGGAUAGGAGCUCCUGCUGCAUGGUGGGGGUUGGAAAGUUUCGGCGGUUGGGGCUGGACUCGCGGCUUAUCAGCUUGUUGGUGGGGUAGUGGCUUACCAAGGCUUUGACGGGUAGCCGGCCUGAGAGGGUGACCGGCCACAUUGGGACUGCGAUACGGACCAGACUACUACGGGAGGCAGCAGUGGGGAAUAUUGCACAAUGGGCGGAAGCCUGAUGCAGCAACGCCGCGUGCGGGAUGACGGCCUUCGGGUUGUAAACCGCUUUGGCCUGUGACGAAGAGGGAGUGACGGUAAUGGGUAAAGAAGCACCGGCUAACUACGUG
RNAcentral lists this ribosomal RNA (468 nucleotides) under uncultured bacterium. RNAcentral describes it as "partial 16S ribosomal RNA". It matches the Rfam family "Bacterial small subunit ribosomal RNA", at positions 28 to 507 of the family's 1533-position model. The record is from RNAcentral.